RNAcentral lists this small RNA (1103 nucleotides) under Pongo abelii (Sumatran orangutan). RNAcentral describes it as "retained intron". The record is from RNAcentral. Lineage: Eukaryota; Metazoa; Chordata; Mammalia; Primates; Hominidae.
CGAGGUGGGCUGGGGAGGGUCUGGGCUGAGUGCUGAGUGAUACAGAAUGCUGGGGUGGAUGGAGGAAAGACCCUUAGAUUUUGGGGAUGAAAUAAAAAGCUGGGCAGAGGGAAGGUGGGAUUUACAUUUGACAUCAGUCUGUCACGUGGGGAAAACCAUGUGGAAGGAGGCCUGGGCCCUGGAAGCCGAGCUGGCAUGCUGACCUGCGUCUCCCCCCAGCUAAGCCAGCACAUGAAACUGAAGCUGCAGUUCACCGCCAGCGUGUCCCACCCUCCACCCGAGGCCCGGCCCCUCUCCCGCAAGAGCAGCCCUAGCAGCCCUGCUGUCCGGGACUUGGUGGAGAGGCAUCAGGCUAGCCUGGGCCGCUCCCAGUCCUUCUCCCACCAGCAGCCUUCCCGAAGCCACCUCAUGAGGUCAGGCAGUGUGAUGGAGCGCAGGGCCAUCACGCCCCCCGUGGCCUCUCCUGUUGGCCGCCCCCUCUACCUGCCCCCGGACAAGGCUGUAUUGUCUCUGGACAAGAUUGCCAAACGCGAGUGCAAGGUCCUGGUGGUGGAACCCGUCAAGUAGCACCGUGCCAGCUCUGUUCCCUCUUACACUCCAGAGACCCAACGCCCCCAGAGGGGAUCCCUGCUCCCGGGCUGUGCCUCCCCUGGGAUGCCUCCCAGACGGGGGUGAAGAGGCCUGGCAGAGCUGCCUGUCUGUGUCUGCUGAUGAGGGAUGGGGGAAGAAGCUGUGAAGUGGGCGGGCAUGGCUGGGACUAAGCCACCAGUAUUCCCCGAGUUCCUGUUGGGGGGGCUGGCCCCACCCCUAGGCCAGGGCAAGGGUUCCCAGAGCUCCCUUGCCCCCCGCCCUUUACCCUGGUUCUGAGUUUACAAAGUCUUUUCCUCAUUCCCGUUGAGUUCUUUCCCACCUCUGACAUUCCCUCCCUCCCUCCCGCAGGGCUGAGAUUAGAGGGUGGUGAUGGCUAAGGGCCCCUGACAGUGACCUUCUGUCUCAGGGGUUGGGGACAGGGCCAGGUAGCCUCCUCCCCCUUAUGUUUACGUUUGCAGCCUGAAGCACUUUAAUUUUUUUUUUUUUUUGGUCUGUUCCUGUAACUUAUUUUC